UACGGAGGGGGCUAGCGUUGUUCGGAAUUACUGGGCGUAAAGCGCACGUAGGCGGCCAUUCAAGUCAGAGGUGAAAGCCCGGGGCUCAACUCCGGAACUGCCUUUGAGACUGAGCGGCUAGAACACGGGAGAGGUGAGUGGAAUUCCGAGUGUAGAGGUGAAAUUCGUAGAUAUUCGGAAGAACACCAGUGGCGAAGGCGGCUCACUGGACCGUUGUUGACGCUGAGGUGCGAAAGCGUGGGGAGCAAACAGG
RNAcentral lists this ribosomal RNA (253 nucleotides) under uncultured bacterium. RNAcentral's name for it is "partial 16S ribosomal RNA". It matches the Rfam family "Bacterial small subunit ribosomal RNA", at positions 524 to 776 of the family's 1533-position model. The record is from RNAcentral.